This 247-nucleotide long non-coding RNA is filed under the name Ananas comosus (pineapple). RNAcentral's name for it is "long non-coding RNA (ACOM_LNC020149)". Lineage: Eukaryota; Viridiplantae; Streptophyta; Magnoliopsida; Poales; Bromeliaceae. The record is from RNAcentral.
UAAUAUACUACAAAAGUUCGCAACACAUUCCUUGUAAGGACUGAGAUUUUUGCAGUGUAGCUAAACUCUCAGUUGACGAUGUUUUUGUGUGUAAUUUAAUUACAAAAGUACUCGUCAAGUUUCGGACGAAAACGAGUUAAAACGGAAAUUCUACGCGAUUUCCAAGUUUCACUUAAAGUGAAUAGUAACUCGAUUUUCCGGAGAAGCCGCGGUGAGAAGUUGGCUUCUGGCUCGUACCGGACUCUGU